Long non-coding RNA from Brassica rapa (field mustard), 1989 nucleotides. RefSeq lists it as uncharacterized. NCBI's taxonomy places the organism in Eukaryota, Viridiplantae, Streptophyta, Magnoliopsida, Brassicales, Brassicaceae. The record is from RefSeq and is a predicted model, not a curated record.
AGAUAUAGAGUGAUUUAAGCCUAUCCACGUAAGCAAAUAUAUUCCCCCAAUCAAAUCAUUUGAUUAAUACACGUAGGAUACCGGAGGCGUUUGUUUUUGGUUUACUGGAUUCGUCUUUAUCGGUUUAAUAAUAAAAACCCACACCCGAGACGGAUAUAGCGACUGUGAACUGGGCUUCGAUUACGAUUGUGAACUGGGCUUUAUUGGUUAAUACAAGGUGGAUCUCAUAUGCAUUUUUAAUAAUUAUAGAUCUCAUAUGCAUUUUUAAUAAUUAUACGAAUACCUAUAGGUAAGUAUUGAUUUUGCAUGUACCUAGAACAUAGUCUGACGCAUAUAUAAUGGACGAAUUUCACUUAAAUUCUAUAUAACAAAAUAAUUAUAAGGCACCAAAUAUUUAGAACAUGGUUUACUGGGCUUGGUCUCUUAUAGGAUAGAUAUUAAAAAAAAAACAACACGAGACGGAAACCCCGAUGCUUUGCGCCUCCAUCUCUUCGUCUUCUCCCUUUGCUCUUCAUCGUAACAGAUCUCUCGAUCCACAUCUCUACAAUCAGUACCCCACGACAUCUCGAUCCAUCAAUUCUUCUUGAUGAGUUCCUUUCCGUUUGCUCUUCUCCUCCUCCUUUAUAUACUGUUAUUCUCUUUCGAGUGGAAACCAAACCUCGAACUUUGGGAGCAAGCCGCUUUGGUUUUCAAAUCCACCAAUUCGGAACAUGUGAUCAAGCCAACCUUUCUAGGCGUCCAUAUGAUUAUUAACAGAAAAUGUGAGAGCUGGAAUAUAAACUUAGUAGUCAUGGAAAGCCGCCACCAUCUGAAACUGGGGUAAAAUUGUGUAUUUUUUUAUCUUUAAUUUUUAUUUUUAGAUAUUAAGAUUUGAUUACUGUUAAAAAAAGGGUUUGAUUACUGUUAUGGUGCAGGGAAAGUUAUUACUUUUCGAUCAAAUAUUCAAGAAGUGUGUUGAUGGAGUGUUCAUGCGACCUUGAUGGAUCUGGUUCACAAGUCUGUGAAUGAGACGUGUUAUAGACGGCUUGAACAUGUGUAAGGAUUGAACCAAUACCAAACUCUGAGUGCGGCGAUGAAAAAUACAGCCAUAGAGUCAGUGAACAAGAAGUGGGAGGGAAGUAAGAACGCAACACUGCAGCUGGUGGACAUGGAGUGCAGUUACAUCACUGUUGAUUUCUUCAGGAAGCUCUCCACAGCUCUGAGAAUACCGAGUGUUUUGCUCCAUUGUGGUCGGUGUGAUUCAGUCCAGAGAAUAUUGCUGAUGCUUAGCUAAGCUUCCACAAACCAUGGACAGGAAGAGGAGAAGCGUUUUUUGAGGGAGCUAUUGAGGCAGAGAGGAAGCGCAAGAGAAGAAGAAGAAGAAAAGGUACAAGAGAGAGAAAAGUGAGAAGCUGGAGAGAGAAAACCUGCUAGAGUAAGAGUGAGAUAAGAAAAGGAAUUUGCUGUUGGAAACGGAACUUGGGAAUGGACCGGCUGCUACACAAAGAUUUCUGAAUCAAUGGACGUGAAUUGCCGUAUUAAUACAUAGAAGAAACGAUUUCAAGAGGUAUGGCCGAAAAUGUCUGCUUUCUCUGGUUAGAGUAAGACAACAUGGGAUAUACUUGGCGUGAAGCUUUCAUGGAGACAAUUGAGACGGACGAUGGUUGUUCUUUCUUAUACUUGGAUCUCUGAAGAAAGAAGAACCAUCCUUUUUAUUUAAUCACAACUACUUAUCAAAUAUGUGAAAGCGGUGGGAAAAUGGGUUCGGUGGUUAUGGCUGAGGGAUACUUUGUUUUGUUAUGGUUAUGGAACUAUGCGGGUUUCUAUUUAACCACCGGACUGACGCUGUGUUUGUUGAGUUAAGGGCAAGAGAGUCUGUUUUUGUAGUAUCUUCUGUUCGAGGUUUAGACUCUUGCAGGAAUGGUGAUCUCACCAAACUCGAGAGGUAUCACAAUCGGAGACCUUGGUUCUAUCGUGAUAUUAAUAAUUUUGGGCUUGGUAGUUCUUCCA